Molecule: ribosomal RNA, 640 nt
Filed under: uncultured bacterium
Lineage: Bacteria
Description: bacterial SSU rRNA
Rfam family: Bacterial small subunit ribosomal RNA
Source: RNAcentral
UACCAUGCAAGUCGAACGGGUAGCACAGAAGAGCUUGCUCUUUGGGUGACGAGCUGGCGGACGGGUGAGUAAUGUCUGGGGAUCUGCCCGGCAGAGGGGGAUAACUACUGGAAACGGUAGCUAAUACCGCAUAACCUCGCAAGAGCAAAGAGGGGGACCUUCGGGCCUCUCGCUGUCGGAUGAACCCAGAUGGGAUUAGCUAGUAGGUGAGGUAACGGCUCACCCAGGCGACGAUCCCUAGCUGGUCUGAGAGGAUGACCAGCCACACUGGAACUGAGACACGGUCCAGACUCCUACGGGAGGCAGCAGUGGGGAAUAUUGCACAAUGGGCGCAAGCCUGAUGCAGCCAUGCCGCGUGUAUGAAGAGGGCCUUCGGGUUGUAAAGUACUUUCAGCGGGGAGGAAGGGUUGUGGGCGAAUACCCUGCGACAUUGACGUUACCCGCAGAAGAAGCACCGGCUAACUCCGUGCCAGCAGCCGCGGUAAUACGGAGGGUGCGAGCGUUAAUCGGAAUUACUGGGCGUAAAGCGCACGCAGGCGGUCUGUCAAGUCAGAUGUGAAAUCCCCGGGCUUAACCUGGGAACUGCAUUUGAAACUGGCAGGCUGGAGUCUUGUAGAGGGGGGUAGAAUUCCAGGUGUAG